CCUACGGGUGGCAGCAGUGGGGAAUAUUGCACAAUGGGCGAAAGCCUGACGCAGCGACGCCGCGUGAGGGAUGAAGGUCUUCGGAUCGUAAACCUCUGUCAGCAGGGAAGAACGGUCACUGUGCUAUUCAGCAGUGAAUUGACGGUACCUGCAAAGGAAGCACCGGCUAACUCCGUGCCAGCAGCCGCGGUAAUACGGAGGGUGCGAGCUUUAAUCGGAAUUACUGGGCGUAAAGCGCUCGUAGGCGGUAUGUGAAGUCAAGGGUGAAAUCCCCGGGCUCAACGUGGGAACUGCCUUUGAUACUGGGAGACUGGAGUGUGUGAGAGGGUAGUGGAAUUCCAGGUGUAGGAGUGAAAUGCGUAGAGAUCUGGAGGAACAUCAGUGGCGAAGGCGACUAUCUGGCACAUAACUGACGCUGAGGAGCGAAAGCGUGGGGAGCAAACAGGAUUAGAUACCCGGGUAGUC
This 465-nucleotide ribosomal RNA is filed under the name uncultured bacterium. RNAcentral's name for it is "partial 16S ribosomal RNA". It matches the Rfam family "Bacterial small subunit ribosomal RNA", at positions 338 to 795 of the family's 1533-position model. The record is from RNAcentral.